This 722-nucleotide long non-coding RNA is filed under the name Setaria viridis. Its description in RNAcentral is "long non-coding RNA (SVIR_LNC007909)". The record is from RNAcentral. Lineage: Eukaryota; Viridiplantae; Streptophyta; Magnoliopsida; Poales; Poaceae.
CGCAACCUCUCAUCUUCUUACUCCUUUCUUCGGUUUUGGCUUGUAUACAUGUCCAAGUCGCCUCGGAAUGUGAACUUCCAUGGAACAAGCCUGAACCCUCGGGUACGUCCUGGGUAUUCGGGAUUCCCGAGGACCAUUGUGAGCUCAUCAUUCUCUCACGCACCGUCAACGUCCCAUCCUUAACAUCUUUAAUAAUCUUAUCAAGCUUUGUGACCGCUUCACGUAACUGCUCAUCCAAGACCAGCGUCCCAUCAUCUGGGUUUAUCUCACCUCCAUGAGAGUAAUACCAGUUUUUUGAUCAUUCGGGCCAAUCAAUUGUUCCUGGUACGAUACCCCGAUCAAUCAAGCAUUUUUCCAUCUUGUUCCAUUUGGAAAUUGCUUUGGCGUAACCACCUCGCCUUAGCUUAUGAUGGUACUCCUUCCCCCUAGCACUGCCUGUGUUCUUGGCGACCUUGUUCUUACUGUCUUCGAUGCUCUUGUAUUGUACAAAUGCCUCCCAGUGGUCCUUACAUUGUGGAUACACAGUAAAAUCUGGAGUUCGGCCCUUCUUAAUAUAUGUGGUAUCCAACAUCUUCUUGAAUGUCUGGAAUUAUGUGGCCAUCUUCUUCACUGUCCACGCUUUCACAUCAUUUUCAAUAUAUCCGUCGGGAAAUGUGAAAUAUUUCUUAACUUCUUCCCACAGCAUAUCCUUUUCUGGAGCGCGUAUGGAUUAGUCGUUUUGC